RNAcentral lists this ribosomal RNA (460 nucleotides) under uncultured bacterium. RNAcentral's name for it is "partial 16S ribosomal RNA". It matches the Rfam family "Bacterial small subunit ribosomal RNA", at positions 338 to 795 of the family's 1533-position model. The record is from RNAcentral.
CCUACGGGUGGCAGCAGUGAGGAAUAUUGGUCAAUGGGCGAGAGCCUGAACCAGCCAAGUCGCGUGAAGGAUGACGGCCCUACGGGUUGUAAACUUCUUUUGUCAGGGAGCAAUUGAGUCCACGUGUGGGCUUAGCGAGAGUACCUGAAGAAAAAGCAUUGGCUAACUCCGUGCCAGCAGCCGCGGUAAUACGGAGGAUGCGAGCGUUAUCCGGAUUUAUUGGGUUUAAAGGGUGCGUAGGCGGAAUAUCAAGUCAGCGGUAAAAAUUCGGGGCUCAACCCCGUCGUGCCGUUGAAACUGAUGUUCUUGAGUGGGCGAGAAGUAUGCGGAAUGCGUGGUGUAGCGGUGAAAUGCAUAGAUAUCACGAAGAACUCCGAUUGCGAAGGCAGCCCGCUGGACUGUAACUGACGCUGAUGCUCGAAAGUGUGGGUAUCAAACAGGAUUAGAUACCCGAGUAGUC